Molecule: long non-coding RNA, 539 nt
Organism: Corylus avellana
Lineage: Eukaryota; Viridiplantae; Streptophyta; Magnoliopsida; Fagales; Betulaceae
Source: RefSeq, a predicted model, not a curated record
AACAACUUGGACUGAAAUGAAUGCAAGGGAAGGUAGAGAUAAGAUUUAAUAAAGUGGUCUUCCCAUGUCGUUUAACGAGGUUCCUUUUGAAAAAGGGUAGAGCGAGAAAAGGUUUCUUCUGCAAAUUCAUAGAAGCGCGUGCAUGUGUAGAAGAUUGCUGAUGCAAAGGGGUAUCAUGAUCUCAAGCCUUCAAAUGAGUCUGUGCCUUCUUCAUGCUUUGCCCAGAUUCGUAACCAUCAACCCUGAUUAAACAGGUUAGACUACUCAAUCUCCAUCUACUCAAUCGAAGCUAGCAUUAUAUUAGUGCCAGUCCGCUCACUGCUUUAUGUGGCGGCUUUGACAAAGCAUAAUGCAGCCAUUUCGCUAAAGUAGUUGAAGAAAGUACUAAUCGCUUGAGCAAACUAGUGAAGCUGUAUUGCGUUUCCAUCUGAGAGGAAAAGUAGUGUGAUGGAUUAAAUGAUCUUUUUGUGAACAGUCUUUCUACUGUUUUAUUUGAUUAUCUACCACUAGGGGCAAUGCAACUAAACUUUUAUAAUGAA